Molecule: long non-coding RNA, 1036 nt
Filed under: Carassius auratus (goldfish)
Lineage: Eukaryota; Metazoa; Chordata; Actinopteri; Cypriniformes; Cyprinidae
Description: lncRNA (ENSCARG00000030861.1)
Source: RNAcentral
GUCGGCUGUUAGACACAGUUAUUUUACAAAUUUAGUAAACAGUGCGAAUGUUAAAACAGUGUUUUAAGAGAGUUCUGCAGAGCCAAAAUGUCUAUAGUUGAAGAAACAUAAACGUUACGUUAAUUGUGAAAAAAAGUGCGACUUCUUCUAGAAACAUCAGUAACAACUACAGUAUGCAUAUGAAGACGUGAUUGAACAUGAAUAAUGAGAUCUAGCACUAAAUUAAUAAUCUCUGAAUGACAACAAUUAUAAAACGCGACGUUACCUUAAGUUUUUUUUUUUUUUUAUUAAACCUUCAUUCAAAAAUACACCUUAAGUUUUUGUUGUCAAACAUAAUACACGUAACGACGUCGUCGCUAGACUUGGGUGUGUCUCACGUCAAUCAAAGUUGCUUCUCUCUUCAAACCAGCAGUGACGACUAGCGGGAGUGUGAGAGAAACGAAAUCCUCUCUUUUGCUUUGUUGACAGUACUUCUGUAGUUUUUAGUCUCAUUAACUUUCUUUAUUAGUAAUCAUUAGUAAAAUAGUGACGUACAGCAUUAUCUGCUUAAAAAUGGCUGGACAAGGACACAACUCGGAAAUCGAGCUUGAUUUUAUCGAAACUGGAAAGAGAUGCUCUGGUAAAAGCUGAGGCAUCCAGCACAGCACCUGGAAGGCUCUCACCCAUUCCUGAGCUGGAUCCCUGGGAGAGAGAAGUAGAAAAGAGCUCUACAGAAUUCACAUACUCCUUAUUCUCAGUGGACAGGUACAGCACUGCCUCCUCCUCCAGCAGCUCCCUAUCUGACUCCCAGGAGAGAGGAGAGCUUGGUGCUAAAGGUCCCGAAAGCUUGUCUGGAGCUUUAGUAGCCCGCCUGAGUCUGAUGCAGCCAUCCUUGGACCCCAAGGGCCCUGCGGAGCCACUGAAAUACCACCAGGUGCUUUUAGUGUCGGUCCCCGAGUCAGGAGAAUUUAUUCCGAGAAAUAAUGAGAGUUGCAUUAGCAGAGUAUCGAUCCCCCUCAGUGUGGCCUUCCCUCAUGAGCCUGCGGUAAGUCUUUAG